GGGGUCGUAGCUCAGUUGGGAGAGCGCUUGAAUGGCAUUCAAGAGGUCCGGGGUUCGAUCCCCCGCGGCUCCACCA
RNAcentral lists this transfer RNA (76 nucleotides) under Candidatus Hydrogenedentota bacterium. Its description in RNAcentral is "tRNA-Ala". It matches the Rfam family "tRNA". From Rfam's summary of the family: Transfer RNA (tRNA) molecules are approximately 80 nucleotides in length. Their secondary structure includes four short double-helical elements and three loops (D, anti-codon, and T loops). Further hydrogen bonds mediate the characteristic L-shaped molecular structure. tRNAs have two regions of fundamental functional importance: the anti-codon, which is responsible for specific mRNA codon recognition, and the 3' end, to which the tRNAs corresponding amino acid is attached (by aminoacyl-tRNA synthetases). tRNAs cope with the degeneracy of the genetic code in two manners: having more than one tRNA (with a specific anti-codon) for a particular amino acid; and 'wobble' base-pairing, i.e. permitting non-standard base-pairing at the 3rd anti-codon position. The record is from RNAcentral. Lineage: Bacteria; Pseudomonadati; Candidatus Hydrogenedentota.